ACCUCUUCAUCUGAUAAACCAGCGUUCCUGAAGAGGAGCUCGAUCUGAAGGAACUCGUGAGAACCGCCUGUUUCAGCUAACGCGCCGCGGCGGCUCGCUAACGGCCUCCGCGAGGUCAAGCGGUCGUCAUGAUGACAACCCGAUCUGCAGCACAUGACCAGCAGCCGACCAAGGGGGCCUCACGAGGAGAAUCCACUUGGAUUCCACGCUUGGUUUCACACGAAGGUUCCAGCUCGUUGUCUUUUAAGUUGAUCUCACCCACGUUGCCUCAUCCAGUCGCUGCAGGAACUGAACCGAUAACGACACACACGGGUCCCGUUUGUGCAUCCAGCGUUACACAACAUGACCACACGAGCGACUGCGUGCACACCUUAACUCACCUCAUGAGUGCGUCAUCUGUCGAUCUCGGCACUCUGCAGCCCUUUUUUGUUCCGCAUUUCUAAGUGUUUGAGACGGUUUGGGAAUUUUAGUGUCUUAAUACAACUGUGACUUGGUCCCACCUCCAAAACAAAGAUAAGACAGCAGAUAGACGGGGGAACUUUUUCCACCCGUCAUAAGAACAAACACAACCUAUUUGUGUAUCUGGAUGAUUCUGCUCAUGCCCGACACCCGAAGCGGUUCAGGAAUCGGGGGGUGGAUCCACGGGGAGGAGAAGAAAUAUUCAAAACUUCGAAAAAGAGCAACCUGACAAUGGGGCCAGGAGAAAGAAAGUUGGUUAGAUCAGACAUUUGCACAAAGGAUGGUAAUGGCGACAAACCAACACGGAGACAAGGGGACAAUUACAGUGGAGGGGAAACAGGAAGUCACGUGAACGCGGGAUGGAGAAGCAGAACAGAACAAAAACUCAACAAAAACCAAGAUUGUGACCGUAGUUAUUCUAUGCAGGACUUAUAUAGAUAUAGAAGCAUAGAGGGAUCCCUACAAGAUACACCCGAUCACAAAUGGGGUUUUCUUUUCUUAUGUAAAUCUCCCCGUUUCAGUGUGCGGUGACCUGCGGUGACCCCCGGUGGGGGAGGUAGUGGGGGAGGGCGUUGGACACAAACAGAUCCACCGCUCUGUAUGAGAAGGGACACCGAUGGCAGUAAAACAGCAGGC
Molecule: long non-coding RNA, 1095 nt
Organism: Gasterosteus aculeatus aculeatus (three-spined stickleback)
Lineage: Eukaryota; Metazoa; Chordata; Actinopteri; Perciformes; Gasterosteidae
Source: Ensembl